Taeniopygia guttata (zebra finch) is the source of this 528-nucleotide non-coding RNA. The record is from RefSeq and is a predicted model, not a curated record. NCBI's taxonomy places the organism in Eukaryota, Metazoa, Chordata, Aves, Passeriformes, Estrildidae.
UCAGGCUGAUGCUGUGACCACUUCCCUGGGGAGCUGUUCCAGUGCCCAAACACCCUCUGGGAAAGCUCUGCUCCCUGUUUUUCCACACAGCAACAUCACCUAUGAACACUUGGACACGGGCAGCACCCUCACUGAUACACCAGAAGAUAUGCUGAGUGCCAGGCAGCUGAUCCUCCAUGACAGGAACCACCUCCCAUAAAGCCCACCAGGGCAACAGGCCUUCAUUGCACAUGUCCUUCCAGCUUAUGGCUGUUCUGCUGCAAGGGAAUGGAGUCAGAUUCCAGAGGGCAAGAGGGAGGCAAAGCCAGCUGCAAUGCAAUCAAGCAACUGCUGUGGGAAGAAGCCAGGCAGUAAAGGAAGGAUGAUUUACUGACACAAGCUAAGCCAAUAUAAACACUUACGAUACAGGUGCCUGUGCUCUCAGAUAUCGCCUGAUUUAAUUCAAUUGUUUUGUAAACCGAUUUAGUUAAAUCUGUAUAAAACUGGUGUUUAAACAAGCCCAAACAGUGGUUAAAAUGUUGUUAAUAA